AUACUUGCUUCAGCAGUACAUAUACUAAAAUUGUAAUGCUACAGAGAAGAUUAGCAUGGCAACUGUGCAAUGAUGACAUGCAGAUUUGUGAAGUGUUCCAUAUUUUA
RNAcentral lists this small nuclear RNA (107 nucleotides) under Panthera leo (lion). Lineage: Eukaryota; Metazoa; Chordata; Mammalia; Carnivora; Felidae. The record is from RNAcentral.